AAACUUGAGAGUUUGAUCCUGGCUCAGAAUGAACGCUGGCGGCGUGCCUAACACAUGCAAGUCGGAUGUGCCCGGCAACGGGUGCAUGGCAGACGGGUGAGUAACGCGUGGGGAAUCUACCUUUUAGUGGGGAAUAACGCUCCGAAAGGAGUGGUAAUACCGCAUGAGACCAUUGGCUGGGAUGUUGAUGGUGAAACCCUGGGACCUUCGGG
RNAcentral lists this ribosomal RNA (212 nucleotides) under Acidobacteriota bacterium. RNAcentral describes it as "Acidobacteria bacterium (activated sludge metagenome) partial 16S ribosomal RNA". It matches the Rfam family "Bacterial small subunit ribosomal RNA", at positions 1 to 216 of the family's 1533-position model. The record is from RNAcentral. Lineage: Bacteria; Pseudomonadati; Acidobacteriota.